This 257-nucleotide small RNA is filed under the name Arabidopsis thaliana (thale cress). RNAcentral describes it as "ATSL148210". The record is from RNAcentral. Lineage: Eukaryota; Viridiplantae; Streptophyta; Magnoliopsida; Brassicales; Brassicaceae.
UUAUUUUACACCAUAGCGGAUGGUUAUAGAAGAACCUCUAAAACUAUCUCCAUUGGUAGUAUCUCAUAAGAAUUUUUCAUAGUUAAAAAAAUAAAAAUAAUAAAAGUAAAAGAGAGAUUGUAGAAAGUUUCUCGCUUCAGAAACUUUGAGAUACUUUUUACGAUCCAUCAUGACAAUUUUCUUUUUACUAUUGGUUUAAUUUUUUAACAAAAAUAUUUUUUUAAUCAAAUAAUCAAAUUAUAAUAUAAUAUUAAUAU